GUUGUCUCCCCGUCAACACUUUGUCAAAACAGCCGUUUCCUCUCGUCGAGCAGCUCUCUUCUCAACUUCAUCAAAAACCAUCACUCUCUCAUCAAAAUACCAUGGGUCUCUCAUGAAAACACCAUCUGUCAUGAGAUUAGGUCUAUCUCUCAGAAGCCAUGCCAACCUAUUCCCUCUCUCAUCUCCCCUCACCUGCAAACCAAAAAGGAAGAAGCUCGGAGUUUUGAUUCUAAGCAAAAUCACCACGAAGCCGACUUGAAGCCACUGAGCAGAUCUCUCUCUCUUUCUCUUUUCUCUUCGUCACUCUCUAUUAAUGGUGCUCCGGCCAUGAACCUGUCUGUAGUGAGCAAUUUGAUGGCGGAUCUCUCAUCAAAACACCAUCUGUCAUCAAAAUAUAUCUCGAUUAGGGCUCGACUGUACUCAUCCAUAACUGCAAUCAUCGAUUAAGAUUAUACCCAUCUGUACAAUCGCUUAAGAUUUCGAUCUAUUCAUGGGUUCUUCGUACUGGGGAAAAGAUAGAAGAAAAAUGGGUUUCAAUCUAGACAUCGAAAUACCGAAGUUGAAACUAGGGUUCCAUUUGUGGGUUCUUCGAUUUGGGGAUUUGGGGGUUUCUCGGCGAUUCUUGCUAGUUUGCCUUAUUUGCAGAGAAUCUGCAGCAGACCAUCUUCUCCAACCAUUCCAAGGCCUCUGCAUCACUACUUUCAACAAUUGGUAAUUGCAAUUCAAAUCCUCUUAGUAUUGUCGUUGCUGUUCUCCCCCGCAGUUCCCGCCAAGUCCCGUCGCUCAAUCUCUGUAUGUAUUCCAAAUGCCUCCAUCUCUUUUCGGAAAGAAAUUGCAGGAAAUAGGGUUAGGCUAGCAACUCAUGCAAAUUUCAAAGAUUUUGUCCUUACUGUUGGGUUGGAGUUCUUUCCUUUAGGUGGAGAUCCAAAGUUCUUGCCGAAUGACAAGGUAUUUACCACCAGCAUAUGGUUAGAUUUCGUCAUCUUAUUUAUUUAUUUAAUUACUUCUUGUGUUUUCAAGAAAACUAAGAGCUAAUGGUAUUUGUGGUUACUAUAACCACUGAAAUAAUUGACCUUUUCUUCACAUAUUGAUAUUUUGCAAGUCAAUUUGACAUAUUGGCUCCGUGGAAAUGAACUAAAACUUUCUUUUGUGUGAGAUCUGAGUAAUAUACAGUGGAUCAAGAGAAAAAAAUGGUAACAAACUGGAAUUUAAAUCAAAAUUUGUACAUAUAUCUAUGAACUAAACUCUGCCAGAAAUUAUAGUGCUUUUAUUCUCUUCAAAUUACAACCUUUCCUUUGGAACCAAACUCCCUUCUUGGCUAAUUAGCUCAAUGUCUUGAACUUCUUUAAAAGGCUUCAUGCUUAUGUUCUAUUGGAAAAUAAUAAUAACCAAAAGAUCUUUUAUUUUAUUUUUAUGUGGUUUGAAAUUAUUUUGUGGUCUCUUAAUCUUUGCAAAUCGUGGUCUGGGGCACUCUCAUGUUGCUGAGGCACUAAAAAUACCGAUUCAUAUAUUUUUCACAAUGCCAUGGACGUAAGUAUUUCUAAUUAACUAUUAUCUUGUUAUUGCUUUAGACUUUCUGUGUCCAUUGUUUGUUUUGGUGCUAUGUGUUUCUUAAAGACACAUAAUGGAUACCAGUAUAGGGAAUGUUCAUCACAUAUAUAUAGCUUUUCUAAAGUUUGGUAAAUUUUAUUAAUUUUCUUCUUUAUCCCUUCUCAUUUCCAAUGGGGACGUUUUCGGAUUAAAUACUCAAAUAAGUGCCUCAUCCUAACAAAGGAUAAUUUUCCUCAUUCUUUCAUGACUCUAUGUUCGUAUGUAGCUUCCUAUCUUCAUAUCAGAUUUGUAUAUUUUAUUUCUUGAUAAUAUGCUUACUUUUUCUUAGGCCUACCAGUGAAUUCCCUCAUCCUCUAUCCCGUGUCAAGCAACAUAUUGGAUAUAGACUAUCAUAUCAAAUAGUUGAUGCAUUAAUUUGGCUAGGAAUUUGAGACAUGAUAAAUGAGUUUAGGAAGAAAAUGCUGAAGCUGAGACAUACCACAUAUUUAAGUGGAUACUAUAGUACUCCUGGUGACGUUCCCUAUGGGUAUAUAUGGAGUCCUCAUCUUGUUCCCAAACCUAAAGGUACUGAGGGACUAACAAUUGCUAAUAUCUAUUGAGUUGUCAAUCGUCUGUUCCUCAUCAUUCCAUGAGUUAAAGAUCAGCCCGACUGUUCAUAUGUUCUGUUUUCCUGUUGGUAACCUAAUUUGGCCAUUAUGAGUAGACUCCAUAAUCAGUGUCUACUAGGUCUCUCCUCUAGCUAGCUUCUGAAUUGGGAGAGGAGAGGCUGCAGCCAAUACACCCAAGCAGAUAUUGAUCAAGUGCGAAAUGAGUGGGGGAAGUUUGUUGUCAACACACAUGUGUACGAGUCAUGAAGUAGCGCAUUUGCUGCUGGUACAUUUUAGAUAAGGAAAGCAUCUUUUUUGUGCUUCUUUGCUUGUACAUUGUCAUGCACCAUGUGAGGCAUGUUUUGGAACAAUAUAUGUGUGGAUCGGCUUUUUGUUGUCCCAAGUAGAUGGGCAUGCACUAGAAUGCUCUUCUUGUGUAAAAUGUUGGUUUCAAUGAUUGGGAAAUGCACCCUUUUCGCUUUUA
Molecule: RNA transcript, 2622 nt
Organism: Rosa rugosa (rugosa rose)
Lineage: Eukaryota; Viridiplantae; Streptophyta; Magnoliopsida; Rosales; Rosaceae
Exons: 8
Source: RefSeq, a predicted model, not a curated record